RNAcentral lists this transfer RNA (70 nucleotides) under Eublepharis macularius. RNAcentral describes it as "tRNA-Ala". It matches the Rfam family "tRNA". From Rfam's summary of the family: Transfer RNA (tRNA) molecules are approximately 80 nucleotides in length. Lineage: Eukaryota; Metazoa; Chordata; Lepidosauria; Squamata; Eublepharidae. The record is from RNAcentral.
GAGGUCUUAGCUUAAAUUAAAGUAUUUGGGUUGCAUUCAGAUGAUGAGUAUUAAAAUUACUUAGGCCUUC